CUCUGUUCAACUUUCAUGGUGAUCGUGAAGGUGCCGUGAAAUGAAGGAGGAAACAAUGCAUAAACCCGCAUGGCGAAUUGCAUAGCGACCGCUAUGGCGACGCGAAUGUAACGAGGACGGGAACUAAAAACCCGUCGGUUAUCAAUUCUCUAAGAGAUCGCUACAAUUAAUCAGAAAGCAUAAACGCACCUUUAGGAAUACAAAUUCGUGUCACACUUUGGGUCUGCGGUCAACCACUGACCUCCCAAGGGAGCUUGAAAGAUUUGUCUCUACGUCUUGGGUGGUAAUCAACUGAUCUCGUAAGAAUUGGGUUUAUUUGACCCGGAAACGCCGGACGAUGGGCAAUUUCAUAUCGCAUGUCUUCGCACCCCAAUUGUACUACUGUUAC
Molecule: long non-coding RNA, 388 nt
Organism: Folsomia candida
Lineage: Eukaryota; Metazoa; Arthropoda; Collembola; Entomobryomorpha; Isotomidae
Exons: 3
Source: RefSeq, a predicted model, not a curated record